UACAGAGAUGGCUACCGUUGUUCGGAAUCACUGGGCUUAAAGGGUACGUAGGCGGGGAUGUAAGUCGGUUGUGAAAGCCCAUGGCUUACCCAUGGAAAGUCAGCCGAGACUGCGUUUCUUGAGUGCGGUAGGGGAGAGUGGAACUUUUGGUGAAGCGGUGAAAUGCGUUGAUAUCAGAAGGAACGCCGGAGGCGAAAGCGACUCUCUAGACCGUUACUGACGCUGAGGUACGAAAGCCAGGGGAGCAAACGGGAUUAGAUACCCCGGUAGUCCUGGCCGUAAACGAUGAUCACUAGGUAGGGGGGUAAAUCCUCCCUGCUGGAGCAAAAGUAUUAAGUGAUCCGCCUGGGGAGUAUGGUCGCAAGGCUGAA
RNAcentral lists this ribosomal RNA (371 nucleotides) under uncultured bacterium. RNAcentral describes it as "bacterial SSU rRNA". It matches the Rfam family "Bacterial small subunit ribosomal RNA", at positions 524 to 898 of the family's 1533-position model. The record is from RNAcentral.